CGGGUGAGUAAUGGAUAAGUAACCUGCCCUUAAGUGGGGGAUAACACUUCGAAAGAAGUGCUAAUACCGCAUGUGGUGCUCUUUCACAAGAAGGAUCACUAAAACCGCAAGGUGCUUGAGGAGGGGCUUGUCUCCGAUUAGCUAGUUGGUGGGGUAACGGCCUACCAAGGCGAUGAUCGGUAGCUGGUCUGAGAGGAUGGUCAGCCACACUGGGACUGAGACACGGCCCAGACUCCUACGGGAGGCAGCAGCAAGGAAUCUUGGGCAAUGGGCGAAAGCCUGACCCAGCGACGCCGCGUGAGGGAUGACGGCCUUCGGGUUGUAAACCUCUUUUCUCAGGGAAGAAUAAUGACGGUACCUGAGGAAUAAGUCUCGGCUAACUACGUGCCAGCAGCCGCGGUAAUACGUAGGAGGCGAGCGUUAUCCGGAUUUAUUGGGCGUAAAGUGGGCGUAGGUGGUCUUUCAAGUCGGAUGUGAAAUCUCCCGGCUCAACUGGGAGGGGUCAUCCGAUACUGUUGGACUUGAGUACAGCAGGGGAAAAUGGAAUUCCCGGUGUAGUGGUGAAAUGCGUAGAUAUCGGGAGGAACACCAGAGGCGAAGGCGAUUUUCCAGACUGAAACUGACACUGAGGCCCGAAAGCGUGGGGAGCGAACAGGAUUAGAUACCCUGGUAGUCCACGCCUUAAACUAUGGGUACUAGGUAUAGGG
This 707-nucleotide ribosomal RNA is filed under the name uncultured bacterium. RNAcentral's name for it is "bacterial SSU rRNA". It matches the Rfam family "Bacterial small subunit ribosomal RNA", at positions 103 to 827 of the family's 1533-position model. The record is from RNAcentral.